This 108-nucleotide small RNA is filed under the name Marmota monax (woodchuck). Lineage: Eukaryota; Metazoa; Chordata; Mammalia; Rodentia; Sciuridae. The record is from RNAcentral.
UCUGGGUGUGGUGGUGCACACUUGUAAUCCCAGAAACUUGGGAGGGUGAGGCAAGAGGAUUUUAAGUUUGAGGCUAGCCUGGGUAACUGAGCAGAGACCUUGUCUCAA